RNAcentral lists this ribosomal RNA (902 nucleotides) under Enterococcus faecium. Its description in RNAcentral is "bacterial SSU rRNA". It matches the Rfam family "Bacterial small subunit ribosomal RNA", at positions 1 to 869 of the family's 1533-position model. Lineage: Bacteria; Bacillati; Bacillota; Bacilli; Lactobacillales; Enterococcaceae. The record is from RNAcentral.
UUUUUUUAUUUUUUAUUUUUUUGCCCCCCCAGACGACGCUGGCGGCGUGCCUAAUACAUGCAAGUCGAACGCUUCUUUUUCCACCGGAGCUUGCUCCACCGGAAAAAGAGGAGUGGCGAACGGGUGAGUAACACGUGGGGUAACCUGCCCAUCAGAAGGGGAUAACACUUGGAAACAGGUGCUAAUACCGUAUAACAAUCGAAACCGCAUGGUUUUGAUUUGAAAGGCGCUUUCGGGUGUCGCUGAUGGAUGGACCCGCGGUGCAUUAGCUAGUUGGUGAGGUAACGGCUCACCAAGGCCACGAUGCAUAGCCGACCUGAGAGGGUGAUCGGCCACAUUGGGACUGAGACACGGCCCAAACUCCUACGGGAGGCAGCAGUAGGGAAUCUUCGGCAAUGGACGAAAGUCUGACCGAGCAACGCCGCGUGAGUGAAGAAGGUUUUCGGAUCGUAAAACUCUGUUGUUAGAGAAGAACAAGGAUGAGAGUAACUGUUCAUCCCUUGACGGUAUCUAACCAGAAAGCCACGGCUAACUACGUGCCAGCAGCCGCGGUAAUACGUAGGUGGCAAGCGUUGUCCGGAUUUAUUGGGCGUAAAGCGAGCGCAGGCGGUUUCUUAAGUCUGAUGUGAAAGCCCCCGGCUCAACCGGGGAGGGUCAUUGGAAACUGGGAGACUUGAGUGCAGAAGAGGAGAGUGGAAUUCCAUGUGUAGCGGUGAAAUGCGUAGAUAUAUGGAGGAACACCAGUGGCGAAGGCGGCUCUCUGGUCUGUAACUGACGCUGAGGCUCGAAAGCGUGGGGAGCAAACAGGAUUAGAUACCCUGGUAGUCCACGCCGUAAACGAUGAGUGCUAAGUGUUGGAGGGUUUCCGCCCUUCAGUGCUGCAGCUAACGCAUUAAGCACUC